Molecule: transfer RNA, 77 nt
Filed under: Patescibacteria group bacterium
Lineage: Bacteria
Description: tRNA-Val
Rfam family: tRNA
About the family: Transfer RNA (tRNA) molecules are approximately 80 nucleotides in length. Their secondary structure includes four short double-helical elements and three loops (D, anti-codon, and T loops).
Source: RNAcentral
GGGCGAGUAGCUUAAUUGGCUAAGCGGCAGGUCUACACCCUGUUGUCAUGUAGGUUCGAAUCCUAUCUCGCCUACCA